CUACGGGAGGCAGCAGUAGGGAAUCUUCCACAAUGGACGCAAUCUUGAUGGAGCAACGCCGCGUGAGUGAAGAAGGUUUUCGGAUCGUAAAGCUCUGUUGUUGGUGAAGAAGGAUAGAGGCAGUAACUGGUCUUUAUUUGACGGUAAUCAACCAGAAAGUCACGGCUAACUACGUGCCAGCAGCCGCGGUAAUACGUAGGUGGCAAGCGUUGUCCGGAUUUAUUGGGCGUAAAGCGAGCGCAGGCGGAAUGAUAAGUCUGAUGUGAAAGCCCACGGCUCAACCGUGGAACUGCAUCGGAAACUGUCAUUCUUGAGUGCAGAAGAGGAGAGUGGAAUUCCAUGUGUAGCGGUGGAAUGCGUAGAUAUAUGGAAGAACACCAGUGGCGAAGGCGGCUCUCUGGUCUGCAACUGACGCUGAGGCUCGAAAGCAUGGGUAGCGAACAGGAUUAGAUACCCUGGUAG
Molecule: ribosomal RNA, 462 nt
Filed under: Lactobacillus delbrueckii
Lineage: Bacteria; Bacillati; Bacillota; Bacilli; Lactobacillales; Lactobacillaceae
Description: bacterial SSU rRNA
Rfam family: Bacterial small subunit ribosomal RNA
Source: RNAcentral